AUGUUUAUUACACUCACGUCCUAUAAAAUAGUUUAAAAAACGUUGACUAAAAUCGGCUGCUCUUGUGAUUUUACCAAGUCACGGACCAUUAUAAGGGUGCCGACAUACACUAACGGCAACUUUUGAUUGAGUAAGUUGAUGGGUGGUGCGAUGAGAGGGAUUCAAUCCAGCAAAAUGUCCACAGCCCUGUCUUUACGUUGUGCGCUGAUCAUCCUUCAUUUGAUAAUGGAAUUGCCAGGAACAGAGUGCCAAGCAACCUGUUUCAAAAACUCCU
This is a non-coding RNA of Pocillopora verrucosa, 274 nucleotides long. Lineage: Eukaryota; Metazoa; Cnidaria; Anthozoa; Scleractinia; Pocilloporidae. The record is from RefSeq and is a predicted model, not a curated record.